This 253-nucleotide ribosomal RNA is filed under the name uncultured bacterium. RNAcentral describes it as "partial 16S ribosomal RNA". It matches the Rfam family "Bacterial small subunit ribosomal RNA", at positions 524 to 776 of the family's 1533-position model. The record is from RNAcentral.
UACGUAGGGUGCAAGCGUUGUCCGGAAUUAUUGGGCGUAAAGAGCUCGUAGGCGGUCUGUCACGUCUGCUGUGAAAACUCGGGGCUUAACCCCGGGCCUGCAGUGGGUACGGGCAGACUAGAGUGCGGUAGGGGAGACUGGAAUUCCUGGUGUAGCGGUGAAAUGCGCAGAUAUCAGGAGGAACACCGGUGGCGAAGGCGGGUCUCUGGGCUGUAACUGACGCUGAGGAACGAAAGCGUGGGGAGCGAACAGG